This 1666-nucleotide ribosomal RNA is filed under the name human gut metagenome. RNAcentral describes it as "bacterial LSU rRNA". It matches the Rfam family "Bacterial large subunit ribosomal RNA", at positions 811 to 2460 of the family's 2925-position model. The record is from RNAcentral.
GUGGCUGGGGGGGAAAGGCCAAUCAAACCGGGAGAUAGCUGGUUCUCCCCGAAAUCUAUUUAGGUAGAGCCUUGAGCGGACACCUUCGGGGGUAGAGCACUGUUUCGGCUAGGGGUCCAUCCCGGAUUACCAACCCGAUGCAAACUACGAAUACCGAAGAGUGAUACUCAGGAGACACACGGCGGGUGCUAACGUCCGUCGUGGAGAGGGAAACAACCCAGACCGCCAGCUAAGGUCCCAAAGUCUAUAUUAAGUGGGAAACGAAGUGGGAAGGCUUAGACAGCUAGGAUGUUGGCUUAGAAGCAGCCAUCAUUUAAAGAAAGCGUAAUAGCUCACUAGUCGAGUCGGCCUGCGCGGAAGAUGUAACGGGGCUCAAAUAUAGCACCGAAGCUGCGGCAUCAGACGUAAGUCUGUUGGGUAGGGGAGCGUUGUGUAAGCGGAUGAAGGUGUGUUGAGAAGCAUGCUGGACGUAUCACAAGUGCGAAUGCUGACAUAAGUAACGAUAAAACGGGUGAAAAACCCGUUCGCCGGAAGACCAAGGGUUCCUGUCCAACGUUAAUCGGGGCAGGGUGAGUCGGCCCCUAAGGCGAGGCUGAAGAGCGUAGUCGAUGGGAAACAGGUUAAUAUUCCUGUACUUGGUAAAGCUGCGAUGUGGGGACGGAGUAGGUUAGGUUAUCGCACUGUUGGAUAUGUGCGUUUAAGUUGGUAGGUGGGAAGUUUAGGCAAAUCCGGACUUCCUUAACACUGAGAGAUGAUGACGAGGCUCUACGGAGUUGAAGUAACUGAUACCACACUUCCAGGAAAAGCCACUAAGCGAAAGGCUUUACUAAACCGUACUGAAAACCGACACAGGUGGUCAGGUAGAGAAUACUCAGGCGCUUGAGAGAACUCGGGUGAAGGAACUAGGCAAAAUAGCACCGUAACUUCGGGAGAAGGUGCGCCGGCGUAGAUUGUAGUCCCUCGCGGGCGAAGGUUGAACCGGUCGAAGAUACCAGCUGGCUGCAACUGUUUAUUAAAAACACAGCACUCUGCAAACACGAAAGUGGACGUAUAGGGUGUGAUGCCUGCCCGGUGCUGGAAGGUUAAUUGAUGGUGUAAUCGAAAGAGAAGCUCCUGAUCGAAGCCCCAGUAAACGGCGGCCGUAACUAUAACGGUCCUAAGGUAGCGAAAUUCCUUGUCGGGUAAGUUCCGACCUGCACGAAUGGCAUAAUGAUGGCCAGGCUGUCUCCACCCGAGACUCAGUGAAAUUGAAAUCGCCGUGAAGAUGCGGUGUACCCGCGGCUAGACGGAAAGACCCCGUGAACCUUUACUAUAGCUUGACACUGAACAUUGAAUUUUGAUGUGUAGGAUAGGUGGGAGACUUAGAAGUAGUCACGCCAGUGAUUAUGGAGUCGUCCUUGAAAUACCACCCUUUAACGUUUGAUGUUCUAACGAAGAUUACGAAACGUGGUCUCGGACAGUGUCUGGUGGGUAGUUUGACUGGGGCGGUCUCCUCCCAAAGAGUAACGGAGGAGCACGAAGGUUUGCUAAUGACGGUCGGACAUCGUCAGGUUAGUGCAAUGGUAUAAGCAAGCUUAACUGCGAGACAGACAAGUCGAGCAGGUACGAAAGUAGGUCAUAGUGAUCCGGUGGUUCUGAAUGGAAGGGCCAUCGCUCAACGGAUAAA